Molecule: long non-coding RNA, 5043 nt
Organism: Setaria italica (foxtail millet)
Lineage: Eukaryota; Viridiplantae; Streptophyta; Magnoliopsida; Poales; Poaceae
Exons: 7
Source: RefSeq, a predicted model, not a curated record
CUCAUCCCUCCUGGAACGGUUCCUGGCCACACGCGACGCGAGGAGACGGACGCUCCGCUAGCGGCGCGCGAGGCGACGCGGCGGCGGCGCAAGGUGGCGGCGUGGCGGUGCAGCACAUCUCCGACGGCCACCACCGCGACGGUGACCGUUGCCUUCUCGCCACCGGGAUCUAGAUCUACUCCUGCGUCCGCCCGCCCGGCCAUCGCUGCACGAUCCGCGAGAUCCGGCGACAGCCGCGGCCGUCUUGCGAGAGUCUGAUUGGUAUUUGUUUGGAGUCCGGCGGUUGCUCUCACUGCUGCCACCCUCUCGAUCUGAUUGGUAUUUGUCUCUAUUCUUCGAUGACUAGCAUAUGCGUGUGGUAUUGGCAUAUGUUUGGAGAUGUGGGUAUGGUUUGCAUGCUAGGUUCCUGCUGUCUGCCUCGCUCUGUCCAGUAUAGUUUUUUAUGUUUGCGAGCCUAGGACUUUUCCUGAAUAGCAUAUAGCAUCAGCUUUGAGUAGAAUCUUCCUACAAUUUUCUUUUCCCAUUGCAUUGGUGAUACCGACAGCUCCUUUUGCUUCACAUCUGUCAUGUGCAGUUUAUUGUGAUGACAGUAAUCCAUCUUUGUGUUCAGUAUCUGUUAGUGUUUUCUUUUUGUUUUGAUUCAGUUAGCAGUCGGCAGUCAGUUAGCUUAGUCAGUACUGAUCUAAUCUUUCGGUUUCUAGGUUCAUUCGGCUGGACUGUGCUUCUGAUUUAUAGUUUCUGUAACCCAAACCAUGACUGAACGAAAACUCAUUUGUUUCCUAUAUUCAGUUAGCAGUCGGCAGUCAGUUAGCUUAGUUGAAGUGACCUCACCUGUGGGUGGUCACUUGCUUGGGAUCGGACCCUCCUCGGGUAGCUAUGUUCAUUUUGCAUAUGCUCCAACAUUGUCUUUCUGAGAGACAUAUUUGGAUUCGGUGUUGAUUGAAGCACAAAUUCAUCUUCCUUAUAGUAGAGUAUUGUAAUUUUUACAGCCGAUGAGAAUGUUAGUUAGACAGGUGCUACAGCUGUACUAUGGAACAUGACAUCUGUCCUAGUCAAUCUUACUUCAGGCUAUCAGCUUCUUGUUUGUUUGAUUCCUUUAUCUCUUUGAGGGGAAAAGUAUGCGUGCUAGUUAAUCACCUGUUAGUUCCUGUUCUAGAAAUUCCAGGUUUUGUAUCAUAUCUGUUGCCAUGUUUCCUUUGAUCUUUACCUUUCCUUUUUAUGGUAACUGAUUUUAGAUUUCCAUGCAUCAUGCAUUUACCAUGACAUGAUGAUGACCUAGCAGGUAAAGUCGCUGUCUACUUACCUCAUGAAUUCACUGUCUACUUACCUCAUAAAUUCGCUGUCUACUUAUACUAUUGUUUGGUCUGCCUAAGGGCAUAUGGUGUGGGCUUAUUGGUACUGUUUGAUCAAAAGGCAACUGGAUUGAUGCAACUUAUUUGCAACUUCACCUAGUGUGUGUGCCUGAAGCCUGAAACUAACAAUAAACGCAUCAACUUAUUAUGCAAUCAGAACUAUGGAGCUCCUGUCAUUUCUUUAUGUGUCAAGACCAUAGUGAUUGAAUGUGUUAGUUUAGCACUGAGCAACAGGUAUACUUUGAAGCUAAUGGGUGAAUAUUUUGGUUUCGAAUUUUUUAGAGUUGAAGAAAGAUGGUGCUUGGUCGAGCAAGGUUCUUUUGUACAAGUUAUUAUGAAAGAAUUGAGAUAUUGAGUUGACCUAGUGAACGUACUGAAAAUAGCUAUUAGUUCUAGUUCAUCUAUGUAAUAUAUCUAGAAUUGUUUGAUUGAUCUGACUAUCCAGAAUUUUAAUGUUAAAUUUUCAACAUGAUUCUAUGCGAUCAUCUUGCCUGAUUUCUUGCCUUAUUUCUGAUUCGCCUGGUGCUGCAGCUACAGCCUAGAGCUAGAAUAGAGUAGAGCUGCAGUAAUGGCCUGGGUAGCUUUGAGUUAAUAAGCACUCCUUGUAUAAAAGAUAAUGAGUUAGUAAUUUAAUAAGCAAAGCUUCUACUAGCAGUGAAAAUAUACCACACUCACGCCUUGUUGAUUUUCUAUCUCCUUAAUUACUUAAUUAGACAGCAUAGCUAGCUCCUACUACUGUUUCUGUUAGCAAAAUUUACAAACUACUUUGUAUGUCUUGCAAAUCAAGAGACCCCAAGCAUAGAAAACUCUUUUCAUGAAGUUGGAUGGUCAUUCUAAAUUUCAGGACCAUUUUACCCAUGAGCCAAAUUCUGAAAUGGUUCUGAACCACGAGCUGAUGAUGCUGUUUGUGUUGAUCGAGAGCUGGAGCUGCCCCAAUCGUACUAGUUUAAGCAAAUUCUAUUGCCCCAAUCAUAUCACAGACUCACAGAUGCUAGAUCCAUUGCUGCUUAUGCUAAUUCACAAAAGGAUCUCCAAGUUUUCACUGUAGUGAUUUCUUGAUGCAAAUUGAUCUUACUGUCAUGUGUGGUCCUACAGCAAAAUUCAUCCAUGUCAGGUUAUUUGUUUGCUUAAUUAAGAUGCUAAUGUUACAUUAGCAUUCAAAGAUGUUAAUGCUAGUAUUUGCUUUAACUAUUACAUUAUAUCUGUUCUUGGAUAGAAGCUUUUGAUGUGCUAACUUUUUCUUGUUACUUGUAGAUCCCACCAGCACCAUUAAGAGUUGGGGAAGGUGAACCACCCCCUUCUUGGGAUCCGGUACCAACUCCAAUAGUUCUGCAAUGAAUAUCUCAUUGAGAGAUCGUAUUAGAAAGAGGAGGGAGGAAGAAGAUGAUGACAUGAUGAUGUUUUCUAUUCCCUGCCUUAUAUCUGAUGGGUUCUGCUAGAGAAGGAGGAGUAAAGAAGAAACGUCAUACAUCAGAAGAAACAGGAGAGGUUAAGGUUCGUCGACUCCUUGAGGGAUAUAUCAAGAACUGUCAAGUUAUAUUUAGGAUGGAACCCCACAUCUUCAAAGAGUUGGCGACUUAUCUUAGAAGGAAAAGACUUGUUGUUGAUACAAGGAUUACGGUGGAGGAAAAGUUGGGUUUCUUCCUAUGCAUGUUAAGUCGCAACGCCUCAUAUGAGGAUCUUGUAGUGACCUUUGGGCACAGCAACGACACCUUCCAUCGUCACAUCAACCACUUCUUCAAGAAGGUCAUUCCCACACUUUCUCGUCGUUUCCUCUAGUCCCCCGAUCCUAAUCAAGUGCAUCCGAAAAUCCAAGAUAAUCCUAGAUUCUAUCCAUUCUUCAAGAAUUGUCUUAGUGCCAUUGAUGGAACUCAUAUCCCCGUUUCCAUAUUCCCUAAGAACCAUUCUCCUUUUAGGAAUAGAAAGGGCACACUAAGCAUUAAUGUGAUGGUGGCAUGUGAUUUUGAUCUCAACAUCACUUUUAUUUCUAGUGGAUUGGAGGGAUCAGCUACAGAUUCCAGAGUGCUAAGAUCGGCUAUGAGCAAGGGCUUCCAGGUACCUCCAGGCAAAUUCUAUCUGGUUGAUGGAGGGUAUGCAAAUACUCCAUCUUUCCUCGCUCCAUAUCAAGGGGUUCGAUACCAUUUGAAAGAAUUUGGAGCUGGACAUCGAAGACCACAAAACUCAAAGGAGCUCUUCAACCACCACCACGCACUACUGAGGAACCAUGUCGAAAGGAUUUUGGGAGUGCUUAAGAAGCGAUUCCCCAUUCUCAAAGUUGCCACAUUCCAUACAUUAGAAAAUCAAGUGAAAAUACCUAUAGCUGCAUCCAUCUUCCACAAUCUAAUCCAAUUACUUCAUGGAGAUGAGGAAUGGUUGGAUCAUCAGCCGAUAAUAUCGAUCCAACACACUUUGUUUCUUUACCCAAUGGCGAUCAAAACAAUGACUCAGGCACUGCACAAGGCAAUGCUUUGAGAGAUACCAUCGCCCAAGAAAUGAAAACAAAGAGUGGACUGGAACCCAACUCUUGAGAAAUCACUUGUUGAAAUUCUGCAUGAGUAUAAAGAUUGUGGCUAUAGAAGUGACAACGGUUGGAACACUAAAGGGUGGAACAAGAUGGUGAAGGAGUUCCAUCUGAGAAACAAGUCUGUCUCGUACACAAAGGCACAAAUUCAAGAUAAAGAAUGUCUUAAGAGAGACUACAAGAUGCUCAAAGCGGCAAGAAUGCAAAGUGGGUCAAAAUGGAAUGAACAAAGAAAUAUGGUUGAAGGAUCAGCCACAAUGUGAGAGAACCUCAUGGUGACUUUCCUCAAAAUCAAGAAGUUUCAAAACAACAAGGCAAGCUUUCUGCUCUUUGAUGCUUUGGGAGAACUCUAUGAUGGUCAUCUAGGGACAUACAAUUUCACUUCUAUUGAGUCACAACGUGUGGAAGAGCCCCUUCAACAAAUUGAUGUUGUAGAGGAAGAAGCUGAGGAAGAAGCCCUAUAGGAAAUUCAUGAGAUACGUGAUGAAGAGGAUGAAGAAAAGGAUGCAAGAGAUAAAGAAGAGGAGGCAAGAAGUGGACAACGAAGAAUGGCUGCAUCAAGAAAGAAACCAGAAAAGGAAGGACAAAGGCCUAGAAAGAGUGCAAAAAUUGAAGCUAUGAUGGAGAGAUUCCUUGAAAUGAGAACAAAGCAAGCAGAAGAUGAAGCUCAACAGCUAGCAAGAGAAAAUGAGACAAGAGAAAAGGAGGCAAGAGAUAAGGAGGCUGCUAAAGGUGAUGAAUACUCCAUCAAAAGGUGCAUAUCGAUUAUCAACACAAUGGAAGUGACCAAACAGGAAAAGGCCAAAGCUUAUGCAAUCUUCACCAAGAGCAAAGAAAACAAAGAGACUUUUAUUUGUGCUAGUGAAGAAGAUGAAGAAUCCGCUUUGAUUUGGCUUAGGAAUGAGAUGGCCUAGCAGUCGAAGAAGAAUCGUCUGCUGCAUUGUGGCGUAGGCUUCUCAAGAUGAUCACCCUGAUGUGCUUCGGUGUAGUGCAGGAGAUGUUUACCUUCUUGGGUUCUAAUUUAAUUUUCAACUCAUCAAGACUCUGGUCAUGUUCAUACAUGUAAUUUAAUUUUUACCUCAUCAAGCAUGGUUUUAUGUAAUGUGAGGAUAAUCAUAUGUUGCUUUGUGACUGAGAUUUUUGGCACUAACGGUUUAUUCCCUGUAUUAA